RNAcentral lists this ribosomal RNA (259 nucleotides) under uncultured prokaryote. RNAcentral describes it as "partial 16S ribosomal RNA". It matches the Rfam family "Bacterial small subunit ribosomal RNA", at positions 524 to 782 of the family's 1533-position model. The record is from RNAcentral.
UACAUAGGUGGCGAGCGUUGUCCGGAUUUACUGGGCGUAAAGGGAGCGUAGGCGGACUUUUAAGUGAGAUGUGAAGUACCCGGGCUCAACUUGGGUGCUGCAUUUCAAACUGGAAGUCUAGAGUGCAGGAGAGGAGAAUGGAAUUCCUAGUGUAGCGGUGAAAUGCGUAGAGAUUAGGAAGAACACCAGUGGCGAAGGCGAUUCUCUGGGCAGUAACUGACGCUGAGGAGCGGAAGCAUGGGUAGCGAACAGGAUUAGA